Oxyura jamaicensis (ruddy duck) is the source of this 733-nucleotide long non-coding RNA. RefSeq lists it as uncharacterized. The record is from RefSeq and is a predicted model, not a curated record. NCBI's taxonomy places the organism in Eukaryota, Metazoa, Chordata, Aves, Anseriformes, Anatidae. The transcript has 3 exons.
GUCAGAAGCAAUUCGAGGCAGUACAGCACAGGGUGGAAAAACUGAUAGAUGUGGGAAGGUGUAAAUUCAUACAGAAUAUGUAUUGAUGAAGUUGUCUUCCAGCUACCCAGGACAGCUGUAGAGGCCACCCAGCUAUGGCAGCAGCCCACACGAACUCCCACCUCCCUGCAGAUUGUUCACAGGUCAUCCACAUUGAGGAGAGCUUUUGUGUGAUAAAAAGUGAGGUAAACCCAACAUAUCUAGGGCAGUUACACUCAUCUGAUCGGAUCCUACAGCCAAGUAGAUGGAGGUGCAAGGUGUGCCCUGCACGUUUCAGACAAGGCCUUUCCCCAGGGACUGUCUGAGCGUCUGUAAAUGCUCGCUGCCCGACUCCACAGGUCGUCCCUGGAAGCCAAUGAUGCCUGUCACGAGUUAAUGUGCUACUAUUUGGGAUCGAAACUGUGGGUACCAACUAGCAGGAAUCAAGAAAAAAAACGCCCUGAAACUCUUCAGGCUCUUUCACACCAGGAUUUCAUUAUAAAGGCCCUUAUGUACAAUAGCUGCACCCAUUUAAGCACAAGGUGUUUCACUGAAAAGUGAGAGACUCCGAUGCCAGGGAAGAAAGUACAGAGGUUGCAACACUCCUGGGAAGCUGUGAUGAAUUCAGCAGCCUGUUUCAUUUCUGCACUAGUUGUGAAACCACCUCUUUGUCCUCAGCGAGGUGAGUUUUGCCUGCCCUUGCCAACCUGUAUGG